This 253-nucleotide ribosomal RNA is filed under the name uncultured bacterium. RNAcentral describes it as "partial 16S ribosomal RNA". It matches the Rfam family "Bacterial small subunit ribosomal RNA", at positions 524 to 776 of the family's 1533-position model. The record is from RNAcentral.
UACGAAGGGGGCUAGCGUUGUUCGGAAUUACUGGGCGUAAAGCGCGCGCAGGCGGCUAUCCAAGUCAGUGGUGAAAGCCCGGAGCUCAACUCCGGAACUGCCAUUGAAACUGUUUAGCUUGAGUACGAGAGAGGUGAGUGGAAUUCCCAGUGUAGAGGUGAAAUUCGUAGAUAUUGGGAAGAACACCGGUGGCGAAGGCGGCUCACUGGCUCUUAUCUGACGCUCAGGCGCGACAGCGUGGGGAUCAAACAGG